GAUUAUGGAUCCUAAAAUAAUACCCCUAGGGAAAGAAAACCCCCUUUUAUCAAAACCUCUACCAGACUCCUUAUAGGCAUCGCUUUAAUACUCAUUAUUGCUCUGUGGAGCACCUCCUGCAUUUUCCAGAUCAGAACAAAUCACAGAGAAUAAAUGGCCCACAACUGAACAUUUAAACCUCAGGCACAGAACCCUGCAAACCCUGUGCUCCCCAGCACAUUCGAAGGGACUUGUGGUCUGUGUAGGGUUUGGCUGUUAGGAAAUCCUGCCAGUUAUACUCAGGAGAGUAGAGUUAAGCAGGUCAACCUUUGUCCAGCAUGCACAAGGGAGGGAAUGUGUUCAGUCCUCAGUACCAGGCGACCGAAAACAAGAAGUCCAAGUACAGCCUUGACUAUUUCAACCAUUUCAGAAGUCCUCACAGAGAUGGACACUUCCUGAAAUCUAUAUUCCGCACUACAGUUGCCUGUAAAUACCAGUGGAGACUUGUCAGAGAAACUUAGAUUUCAGCUCAGGGACAAAAACCAGGAUGUGGAUCAAGAGGGCACGGUUUCAGCAUUCCAGAGCAGUAACCCAGCAGGGAAAGGGUGGACCCUGAGGCCGCUCAUCCCAGAUCUGACCCAGAGGUCUCAAUUAAAAAAAAAAAAAAAAAAAA
RNAcentral lists this long non-coding RNA (652 nucleotides) under Rattus norvegicus (Norway rat). Its description in RNAcentral is "long non-coding RNA NONRATT010687". The record is from RNAcentral. Lineage: Eukaryota; Metazoa; Chordata; Mammalia; Rodentia; Muridae.